RNAcentral lists this ribosomal RNA (271 nucleotides) under uncultured bacterium. RNAcentral describes it as "partial 16S ribosomal RNA". It matches the Rfam family "Bacterial small subunit ribosomal RNA", at positions 1221 to 1500 of the family's 1533-position model. The record is from RNAcentral.
CGUGUUACAAUGGGGGGUACAGAGGGCCGCUACCACGCGAGUGGAUGCCAAUCCCCAAAACCUCUCUCAGUUCGGACUGGAGUCUGCAACCCGACUCCACGAAGCUGGAUUCGCUAGUAAUCGCGCAUCAGCCACGGCGCGGUGAAUACGUUCCCGGGCCUUGUACACACCGCCCGUCAAGCCAUGGGAGCCGGGGGUACCUGAAGUGCGUAACCGCGAGGAGCGCCCUAGGGUAAAACUGGUGACUGGGGCUAAGUCGUAACAAGGUACC